UACGUAGGGUGCAGGCGUUAAUCGGAAUUACUGGGCGUAAAGCGUGCGCAGGCGGUUUCUUAAGUCAGAUGUGAAAGCCCCGGGCUUAACCUGGGAACUGCGUUUGAAACUGGGAGACUUGAGUGUGGCAGAGGGGGGUGGAAUUCCACGUGUAGCAGUGAAAUGCGUAGAGAUGUGGAGGAACACCAAUGGCGAAGGCAGCCCCCUGGGAUAACACUGACGCUCAGGCACGAAAGCGUGGGGAGCAAACAGG
RNAcentral lists this ribosomal RNA (253 nucleotides) under uncultured bacterium. RNAcentral's name for it is "partial 16S ribosomal RNA". It matches the Rfam family "Bacterial small subunit ribosomal RNA", at positions 524 to 776 of the family's 1533-position model. The record is from RNAcentral.